RNAcentral lists this ribosomal RNA (450 nucleotides) under uncultured bacterium. RNAcentral's name for it is "bacterial SSU rRNA". It matches the Rfam family "Bacterial small subunit ribosomal RNA", at positions 29 to 524 of the family's 1533-position model. The record is from RNAcentral.
AGCGAACGCUGGCGGCAGGCCUAACACAUGCAAGUCGAACGGAUCCUUCGGGAUUAGUGGCGGACGGGUGAGUAACACGUGGGAACGUGCCCUUUGGUUCGGAACAACUCAGGGAAACUUGAGCUAAUACCGGAUAAGCCCUACGGGGGAAAGAUUUAUCGCCAUUGGAGCGGCCCGCGUCUGAUUAGCUAGUUGGUGAGGUAAAGGCUCACCAAGGCGACGAUCAGUAGCUGGUCUGAGAGGAUGAUCAGCCACAUUGGGACUGAGACACGGCCCAAACUCCUACGGGAGGCAGCAGUGGGGAAUCUUGCGCAAUGGGCGAAAGCCUGAUGCAGCCAUGCCGCGUGAAUGAUGAAGGUCUUAGGAUUGUAAAAUUCUUUCAGCAGGGACGAUAAUGACGGUACCUGCAGAAGAAGCCCCGGCUAACUUCGUGCCAGCAGCCGCGGUAAU